UACAGAGGGUGCGAGCGUUGUCCGGAAUCACUGGGCGUAAAGGGCGCGUAGGCGGCUUGAUAAGCGUGCGGUGAAAGCCCGGGGCUCAACCCCGGGUCGGCCGUGCGAACUGUCGAGCUGGAGCACUGUAGAGGCAGGUGGAAUUCCGGGUGUAGCGGUGGAAUGCGUAGAGAUCCGGAAGAACACCAGUGGCGAAGGCGGCCCGCUGGGCAGUGGCUGACGCUGAAGCGCGACAGCGUGGGGAGCAAACGGG
This 253-nucleotide ribosomal RNA is filed under the name uncultured bacterium. Its description in RNAcentral is "partial 16S ribosomal RNA". It matches the Rfam family "Bacterial small subunit ribosomal RNA", at positions 524 to 776 of the family's 1533-position model. The record is from RNAcentral.